AAACAAAAGUUCACUAUCCUCGAAAAAUCUAUGUAUUGAUAAAUUUUUCGAGGAUAGCCAUGCAAAAUGUAAACUAAUAUUCGAGGAUAAGUUUUUAUCAAUGUAUUGUGUAUUUGUCGUGUCUCGUCAUGUGUGUUCGAGAGUUCCUCUAUUCUUGUAUUUACUCUUUUCUCUCCUGAUUUUGCUUUGCUUCUCUUCAUGUCCGUAGACUCUUCGCGUUGUGUGGUGGUAUUAUGUUUGUGUGUAACAACGGAACUUUCGCUGCAAGGUUGGAGGGAGGGGGUGGGCGUUCGAGUGUGUUGUUUAUCAGCUGUGAUCUGUGCGUGUGAAACUUUUUCGGUGUGCUGAAACGGAUUCAAAAAUCUGUUUGCUCUACAAAGUCGAUGAGUGCAAUCAGUUCUGCAGCCCCAUGGUGAACGUUGGGAGGUGUUGGCACGGAAGACGGAGCGGGAAAAGGUUCACGACAACUAUGCGGUGAGGAGGAUAUCCAAAUUAGCGGGUGAGCCCACGCUGUACCUCGUAGGAGAACCUGGCCAUGGGUAUCGGAGAAUGCAUAUCGUAUGCCAGGAACGUGCUUGGCCUUGAACACUGACUCUGCUCGAUCACGGGUUCCAAAUUGGUCAUUACGUUACCGGCGGCUUGCCAGCAAUCAGCAUUGGGUGUUCUUUUUCCGUUCAGUUCUUCCUACCGUCCUUCUGUGUAUAAAGUGCCUUCCAUUAACAUCUCCCGACAACAAGUUGGAGCUGCUUCUAGCACGGAUUAUGAUGGUGCUGUUGCUGAAGAGGAAUGUUGUGUUGCCUGGUUGCACUGGACAGGAUGGUUCACACAGUGUAGUCGAUCUCCUGUUGGUGUCGAUUGUUCCCUUCGAGCCGGAGGCCCAUCCCGACCGCUCAGUGCGAUAGUGUUAGGUGCUAGAAAUACAAGAUGUAAAUAUAAAAUGAUUACUUUACAUGUUAAUACAGAAGAGGUGAUUAUAUAGGUUAUAGAAUUACGGCUUUUACUUACUAAUAAAAACAUGAACGAGCGAA
Molecule: long non-coding RNA, 1028 nt
Organism: Anopheles stephensi (Asian malaria mosquito)
Lineage: Eukaryota; Metazoa; Arthropoda; Insecta; Diptera; Culicidae
Exons: 5
Source: RefSeq, a predicted model, not a curated record